GACAGAGGGUGCAAACGUUGUUCGGAAUUACUGGGCGUAAAGCGCGUGUAGGCGGCUUUGCAAGUCGGGCGUGAAAUCCCACGGCUCAACCGUGGAAGUGCACUCGAAACUGCAGAGCUAGAGUCCUGGAGAGGAAGGUGGAAUGCUUGGUGUAGAGGUGAAAUUCGUAGAUAUCAAGCGGAACACCGGUGGCGAAGGCGGCCUUCUGGACAGUGACUGACGCUGAGACGCGAAAGCGUGGGGAGCAAACGGG
Molecule: ribosomal RNA, 253 nt
Filed under: uncultured bacterium
Lineage: Bacteria
Description: partial 16S ribosomal RNA
Rfam family: Bacterial small subunit ribosomal RNA
Source: RNAcentral